This 253-nucleotide ribosomal RNA is filed under the name uncultured bacterium. RNAcentral's name for it is "partial 16S ribosomal RNA". It matches the Rfam family "Bacterial small subunit ribosomal RNA", at positions 524 to 776 of the family's 1533-position model. The record is from RNAcentral.
UACGAAGGGGGCUAGCGUUGCUCGGAAUCACUGGGCGUAAAGGGUGCGUAGGCGGGUCUUUAAGUCAGGGGUGAAAUCCUGGGGCUCAACUCCAGAACUGCCUUUGAUACUGAGGAUCUUGAGUACGGGAGAGGUGAGUGGAACUGCGAGUGUAGAGGUGAAAUUCGUAGAUAUUCGCAAGAACACCAGUGGCGAAGGCGGCUCACUGGCCCGUUACUGACGCUGAGGCACGAAAGCGUGGGGAGCAAACAGG